This 253-nucleotide ribosomal RNA is filed under the name uncultured bacterium. RNAcentral's name for it is "partial 16S ribosomal RNA". It matches the Rfam family "Bacterial small subunit ribosomal RNA", at positions 524 to 776 of the family's 1533-position model. The record is from RNAcentral.
GACGGAGGGUGCAAGCGUUGCUCGGAAUCAUUGGGCGUAAAGGGUGCGUAGGCGGCUUGGUAAGUCGGGUGUGAAAGCCCUGGGCUCAGCCCGGGAAGGGCACUCGAAACUGCCGAGCUGGAGUGCCGGAGGGGAGAGUGGAAUUCCUGGUGUAGCGGUGAAAUGCGUAGAGAUCAGGAGGAAUACCGGUGGCGAAAGCGACUCUCUGGACGGCAACUGACGCUGAGGCACGAAAGCGUGGGGAGCAAACAGG